Drosophila albomicans is the source of this 924-nucleotide long non-coding RNA. RefSeq lists it as uncharacterized. The transcript has 3 exons. The record is from RefSeq and is a predicted model, not a curated record. NCBI's taxonomy places the organism in Eukaryota, Metazoa, Arthropoda, Insecta, Diptera, Drosophilidae.
UUGCAAUAACAGCUGCAGCAGGGCUGCUUAGAUAUUGUAAGAUCAGCUGUUGCAGGGAUGUCUUAGAAAUUGCAAUCCCAGCUGCAGCAGGGCUGCUUAGAAAUGGCAAGAUCAGCUGCAUCAGGGAUGUUUCGAGGAAUUGCAAGAACAGCUGCAUCAGGGAUGCUUAGAAAAGCCGCAAGGUCAGCUGCAUCAGAGAUGAUUAGGAAAGCUGUAAUAUCAUCUGUUUUGCAUUUCCUGUAACCUAGAUGGAACGCACGUUAAGUGGCUCACAUUCUUUUCGUUCGAAACCGUCGUAGAGUGCAGACGCGCAUAUAAUCACGUUCCGUGGGAAAAGUUUUUUUUGGUGCGGGCAAAGGCGGCAAGUGCUGAGUCGAGUUGGUUAUUCAAAAAUUAUAUAAAAAAAAUCCUCUGCGAAACGACGAGUGCGUACGGAAUAAAAGAGCGAAAAGAGACAGCCUAAUUGGAGUUCCGUUGCUGGCUGCUGAACGCCGGCGCAACUAUUUUUUUUUAUUCUUUUCUGUGUUAAUCCCACUGGAAGUUGGCAGGCAGUUCGGUGGCAGCCCACACCAAGUACCUCAGGAGACCUCCAUGCGGAGGCGAGGAGGUUAGGAUCGCCCCGAGUCCCCUUCAGUAAAAUUGUGAGAAAACAAGAUGGCCGCUUCGUUAUUCUAUCUAACCUAAAAGGUGGCAGAAAUCCAAUCUGUUCUGCCGGAAGACGAGCCGUACGCAUGGGCGUAGAAUUCUGAAGUUGCGGAGCCAUGAGAGCCUGAGGCUGUUGAGCCGAAAUCAUCGUUGGAAUAUUUUUGAAAAGUUUAUACCAUUUUUCCUUAUUUUUGCCAAGCUUGCGGCACUUUCCCCUUCAACUGGUAUUCUCUUAACCUCAAUCUGGUCGAAUAAUUAAAAACCAAUUAAAAAUGUCUA